CCUACGGGUGGCAGCAGUAGGGAAUCUUCCACAAUGGGCGAAAGCCUGAUGGAGCAACGCCGCGUGGGUGAAGAAGGUCUUCGGAUCGUAAAACCCUGUUGUUAGAGAAGAAAGUGCGUGAGAGUAACUGUUCACGUUUCGACGGUAUCUACCCAGAAAGCCACGGCUAACUACGUGCCAGCAGCCGCGGUAAUACGUAGGUGGCAAGCGUUAUCCGGAUUUAUUGGGCGUAAGGGGAACGCAGGCGGUCUUAUAAGUCUGAUGUGAAAGCCUUCGGCUUAACCGGAGUAGUGCAUUGGAAACUGGGAGACUUGAGUGCAGAAGAGGAGAGUGGAACUCCAUGUGUAGCGGUGAAAUGCGUAGAUAUAUGGAAGAACACCAGUGGCGAAGGCGGCCGGCCAAGCCAUGACUGACGCUGAUGCACGAAAGCGUGGGGAUCAAACAGGAUUAGAUACCCUGGUAGUC
RNAcentral lists this ribosomal RNA (465 nucleotides) under uncultured bacterium. RNAcentral's name for it is "partial 16S ribosomal RNA". It matches the Rfam family "Bacterial small subunit ribosomal RNA", at positions 338 to 795 of the family's 1533-position model. The record is from RNAcentral.